GUAACCUUUGAGUCAGUGGAUUACAAAGAGGACGAGCGCUCAAAUCAUGUCAUUCGGAGUUUCAUCACAUCAUCGGUGCGGCUUUUUUA
Molecule: small RNA, 89 nt
Filed under: Bacteroides cellulosilyticus CAG:158
Lineage: Bacteria; Pseudomonadati; Bacteroidota; Bacteroidia; Bacteroidales; Bacteroidaceae
Description: Bacteroidales-1 6S-Bacteroidales RNA suggested
Rfam family: Bacteroidales-1 6S-Bacteroidales RNA suggested
Source: Rfam by way of RNAcentral